RNAcentral lists this ribosomal RNA (591 nucleotides) under Salmonella enterica subsp. enterica serovar Enteritidis. Its description in RNAcentral is "partial 23S ribosomal RNA". It matches the Rfam family "Bacterial large subunit ribosomal RNA", at positions 1 to 623 of the family's 2925-position model. The record is from RNAcentral. Lineage: Bacteria; Pseudomonadati; Pseudomonadota; Gammaproteobacteria; Enterobacterales; Enterobacteriaceae.
GGGUUGUGAGGUUAAGCGACUAAGCGUACACGGUGGAUGCCCUGGCAGUCAGAGGCGAUGAAGGGCGUGCUAAUCUGCGAUAAGCGCCGGUAAGGUGAUAUGAACCGUUAUAACCGGCGAUACCCGAAUGGGGAAACCCAGUGUGAUUCGUCACACUAUCAUUAACUGAAUCCAUAGGUUAAUGAGGCGAACCGGGGGAACUGAAACAUCUAAGUACCCCGAGGAAAAGAAAUCAACCGAGAUUCCCCCAGUAGCGGCGAGCGAACGGGGAGGAGCCCAGAGCCUGAAUCAGCAUGUGUGUUAGUGGAAGCGUCUGGAAAGGCGCGCGAUACAGGGUGACAGCCCCGUACACAAAAGCGCAUGUGCUGUGAGCUCGAUGAGUAGGGCGGGACACGUGGUAUCCUGUCUGAAUAUGGGGGGACCAUCCUCCAAGGCUAAAUACUCCUGACUGACCGAUAGUGAACCAGUACCGUGAGGGAAAGGCGAAAAGAACCCCGGCGAGGGGAGUGAAAAAGAACCUGAAACCGUGUACGUACAAGCAGUGGGAGCACCCUUUGGGUGUGACUGCGUACCUUUUGUAUAAUGGGUCAG